RNAcentral lists this unclassified non-coding RNA (200 nucleotides) under Scleromitrula sp. RNAcentral describes it as "partial internal transcribed spacer 2". The record is from RNAcentral. Lineage: Eukaryota; Fungi; Ascomycota; Leotiomycetes; Helotiales; Sclerotiniaceae.
UUAAGUUCAGCGGGUAUCCCUACCUGAUCCGAGGUCAACCAUAGAAAAUUAGGGGCUUGAUGGCGAGCCACCGCACAGGCCUGUAGCGAGAAGAAUGACUACGCUUAGAACCUAACGGCCGCCGCACACUGAUUUUAAGGCCCGUCAUGUUACUGACGAAGCCCAAGACAAGCAGAGCUUGAGGGGUUGAAAUGACGCUC